RNAcentral lists this transfer RNA (71 nucleotides) under Klebsiella pneumoniae. Its description in RNAcentral is "tRNA-Leu(gag)". Lineage: Bacteria; Pseudomonadati; Pseudomonadota; Gammaproteobacteria; Enterobacterales; Enterobacteriaceae. The record is from RNAcentral.
UCGGCGGUGAGCACCGGUGGCGUGCUGCCAUUGAGCACGGCAUGGCAGCCGUUCCAGUCACCUCCGUCGGU